UACGGGGGGGGCAAGCGUUGUUCGGAAUUACUGGGCGUAAAGGGCUCGUAGGCGGCCAACUAAGUCGGACGUGAAAUCCCUCGGCUUAACCGGGGAACUGCGUCUGAUACUGGUUGGCUUGAAUCCGGGAGAGGGAUGUGGAAUUCCAGGUGUAGCGGUGAAAUGCGUAGAUAUCUGGAGGAACACCGGUGGCGAAGGCGGCAUCCUGGACCGGUAUUGACGCUGAGGAGCGAAAGCCAGGGGAGCAAACGGG
Molecule: ribosomal RNA, 253 nt
Filed under: uncultured bacterium
Lineage: Bacteria
Description: partial 16S ribosomal RNA
Rfam family: Bacterial small subunit ribosomal RNA
Source: RNAcentral